Molecule: long non-coding RNA, 489 nt
Organism: Leptonychotes weddellii (Weddell seal)
Lineage: Eukaryota; Metazoa; Chordata; Mammalia; Carnivora; Phocidae
Source: RefSeq, a predicted model, not a curated record
AGAAGGAUUGGGGGAUUUUAGCAAGCCAAAGUUAACAACAGUAGAAACCAGAAUUAUGGCUUUAGACCCCUGAAAUGGAAGAAAAUUGUGGCAUGAGGCGAGACAGUUUUCCUGGUACAUGCAGAAGGGUAUGAAAGAAGGAGUGAGCUCUCAGAAGUGGCAACUAGAGUCUUCAGAAGGAACUGGCAAGAAAGAUACUCGCUUCUCUUCUUAUUCACAUCUAGAGAACCAUGAGAUACUGCACGAGAAUGACCUAAGCCCCCACCCAAGAAAGCAGCCCAGCUUGGUGUGUUUGUGGGGGCCAAGUGGCUACGGAUAAGAAUUUGUGAGUUCCUUUGUUCCCUGAUUUCCGAGCCAGGGAAAGACCUCUACAGGCGCUACUGAGAGGGAGACAAUUUACCUUCAUGACCUUCCCUUCUUAACACAGUUCCCCUGCAGAGGAAGAAGAUGGGUGGGGGAGGGGAUGUAAUCAGUAUAGAUCACUUGCAU